AACGGACGCUGGCGGCAGGCUUAACACAUGCAAGUCGAGCGCCCCGCAAGGGGAGCGGCAGACGGGUGAGUAACGCGUGGGAACGUACCUUUUGGUUCGGAACAACUCCGGGAAACUGGAGCUAAUACCGGAUAAGCCCUAACGGGGAAAGAUUUAUCGCCGAAAGAUCGGCCCGCGUCUGAUUAGCUAGUUGGUGAGGUAACGGCUCACCAAGGCGACGAUCAGUAGCUGGUCUGAGAGGAUGAUCAGCCACACUGGGACUGAGACACGGCCCAGACUCCUACGGGAGGCAGCAGUGGGGAAUAUUGGACAAUGGGCGCAAGCCUGAUCCAGCCAUGCCGCGUGAGUGAUGAAGGCCUUAGGGUUGUAAAGCUCUUUUGUCCGGGAAGAUAAUGACUGUACCGGAAGAAUAAGCCCCGGCUAACUUCGUG
RNAcentral lists this ribosomal RNA (431 nucleotides) under uncultured bacterium. Its description in RNAcentral is "partial 16S ribosomal RNA". It matches the Rfam family "Bacterial small subunit ribosomal RNA", at positions 29 to 507 of the family's 1533-position model. The record is from RNAcentral.